GACGAACGCUGGCGGCGUGCUUAACACAUGCAAGUCGAACGGAAAGGCCCUGCUGUUGUGGGAUGCUCGAGUGGCGAAAGGGUGAGUAACACGUGAGUAACCUGCCCUUGACUUUGGGAUAACUUCAGGAAACUGGGGCUAAUACCGGAUAGGGGCACCUACUGCAUGGAGGGGGUUGGAAAGUUUCGGCGGUUGGGGAUGGACUCGCGGCUUAUCAGCUUGUUGGUGGGGUAGUGGCAUACCAAGGCUUUGACGGAUAGCCGACCUGAGAAGGUGACCAGCCACAUUGGGACUGAGAUACGGCCCAGACGCCUACGGGAGGCAGCAGUGGGGAAUAUUGCACAAUGGGCGGAAGCCUGAUGCAGCAACGCCGCGUGCGGGAUGACGGCCUUCGGGUUGUAAACCGCUUUCGCCUGUGACGAAGCGUGAGUGACGGUAAUGGGUAAAUAGGCACCGGCUAACUACGUG
This 468-nucleotide ribosomal RNA is filed under the name uncultured bacterium. RNAcentral describes it as "partial 16S ribosomal RNA". It matches the Rfam family "Bacterial small subunit ribosomal RNA", at positions 28 to 507 of the family's 1533-position model. The record is from RNAcentral.